CGGGAUGUGGCUCAGCUUGGUAGAGCGCGUCGUUCGGGACGACGAGGUCGUGGGUUCGAAUCCCGCCAUCCCGACCA
This 77-nucleotide transfer RNA is filed under the name Armatimonadetes bacterium Cent15-Ar3. RNAcentral describes it as "tRNA-Pro". It matches the Rfam family "tRNA". From Rfam's summary of the family: Transfer RNA (tRNA) molecules are approximately 80 nucleotides in length. Their secondary structure includes four short double-helical elements and three loops (D, anti-codon, and T loops). Lineage: Bacteria; Bacillati; Armatimonadota. The record is from RNAcentral.